This 562-nucleotide ribosomal RNA is filed under the name Vibrio parahaemolyticus. RNAcentral's name for it is "bacterial SSU rRNA". It matches the Rfam family "Bacterial small subunit ribosomal RNA", at positions 78 to 639 of the family's 1533-position model. The record is from RNAcentral. Lineage: Bacteria; Pseudomonadati; Pseudomonadota; Gammaproteobacteria; Vibrionales; Vibrionaceae.
GAUAGCGGCGUCGAGCGGCGGACGGGUGAGUAAUGCCUAGGAAAUUGCCCUGAUGUGGGGGAUAACCAUUGGAAACGAUGGCUAAUACCGCAUGAUGCCUACGGGCCAAAGAGGGGGACCUUCGGGCCUCUCGCGUCAGGAUAUGCCUAGGUGGGAUUAGCUAGUUGGUGAGGUAAGGGCUCACCAAGGCGACGAUCCCUAGCUGGUCUGAGAGGAUGAUCAGCCACACUGGAACUGAGACACGGUCCAGACUCCUACGGGAGGCAGCAGUGGGGAAUAUUGCACAAUGGGCGCAAGCCUGAUGCAGCCAUGCCGCGUGUGUGAAGAAGGCCUUCGGGUUGUAAAGCACUUUCAGUCGUGAGGAAGGUAGUGUAGUUAAUAGCUGCAUUAUUUGACGUUAGCGACAGAAGAAGCACCGGCUAACUCCGUGCCAGCAGCCGCGGUAAUACGGAGGGUGCGAGCGUUAAUCGGAAUUACUGGGCGUAAAGCGCAUGCAGGUGGUUUGUUAAGUCAGAUGUGAAAGCCCGGGGCUCAACCUCGGAAUUGCAUUUGAAACUGGCAG